AACCAAGUUAGGUUGUGGAUAUCGUGGUUUAGAAAUGAUGGAUGGAAGCAAUGUGGUGGCUGCCGUAUGCUACAGAUCAGUCCAAAGCCCUGUAACAUUUGGAUGCUGUGCCCACGUGUAUGUGAAUUCAGGCGUUAGACCACCUUAUUCAGGGUGUGCUUUGAUCCUGGUUCUGUUACUGAGCUUAGGUUGCAUGCUGUACCCACAAACUCUGGUGGUCUCACUGAAAGGCAGAGUUUUAAGUUCUGUCCUGUAAAGCUUUAUCCAUUCUCCCGGGAUAGUACUUGGAAAAGAUGUUCUUCUUCAUGCAAUUUUGGGACACUGCCUGAAUGGCAUCCCUACAGCCAGGGGCUGCAGUAGUGGGAAGAAUUGGGUGGUGAAGCUCUGUUCCAGCAGGUUUCAAAGCCAGAAGCUCUGCGUAGACUGCUCAGUGCACUGCUUGAGCCCUGCUUGGGGAGCACCAAACCCAGCUCUGCUACACACCAGUGUGAGACCGGCAGCUGAAAGAAUAUGGGAUGCAACUGGAGUUCUGCAUGUGCCAACCUUCUAAAAAAAUACAUCUCUGAGCAGACAUACUUCAGGGGAGGUUCUCAGAUCACAAGUAGUGGAGCAGAUGCGCUGAGAAGAGGCACUUUCAGUGGUGUGUGCGGCAGAUUCAGCAGAUCCAGCCUCCUAUUUCCUGUUCUUCCAGUAUCAUCUGUUACUCAUGACGGCAUUUUGUAUAUUGUCCUUACACAACUGGCAGAGAGGUCAAAGUAA
This 759-nucleotide long non-coding RNA is filed under the name Anas zonorhyncha (Eastern spot-billed duck). RNAcentral describes it as "lncRNA (ENSAZOG00000015926.1)". The record is from RNAcentral. Lineage: Eukaryota; Metazoa; Chordata; Aves; Anseriformes; Anatidae.